Molecule: long non-coding RNA, 534 nt
Organism: Suricata suricatta (meerkat)
Lineage: Eukaryota; Metazoa; Chordata; Mammalia; Carnivora; Herpestidae
Exons: 3
Source: RefSeq, a predicted model, not a curated record
AGCUCUGGAACUUUGGGUCAAUCUCUUAACAUUUUUGGCUUCUUACCAUCAUCUACAAAGGCAGAGUCUGCACCAUUUGAUCUCCAUAGUGUAUGUAGCUCCACAUUUCACUGCUGAACUAACAGUCACUGGGAAGGUUGAGUGAGUUGCUUACUCCUCAGCCCCCCUGUUUCUACACCUUCAGCUCCCGCAUAAGCCACCCAGGGAGUAAGGAGGGGCCUCCGGUCCUCUGAAUCUUCAGCCUUUGUCCUUUACAAUGAUAUUCACAUGAUCAAUCUCCAUUAAUCCUCUCCGCAAAGCCAAGGGACAGCCAGCACCUGAAGCCUGGGAGGAUCAAAGCUCUGCAAAUGUGCCACGAACAAUGGCCACAGCUUGUUAAUAACUUGGAUGAGUGAGGUCCUGGCUCGAGAAGCCAAGUCGGUGACGUAUCAGAAGAGAAAUCCCCCAAUUCUGAGCACAUUAGGCACGUCCUGAGUGCUUCCUACUCUAACGGAUUUUGCAAAGCUCUAAAGAUAUACACUAUCCCUGCCCUCA